RNAcentral lists this long non-coding RNA (939 nucleotides) under Linum usitatissimum (flax). RNAcentral's name for it is "long non-coding RNA (LUSI_LNC003437)". Lineage: Eukaryota; Viridiplantae; Streptophyta; Magnoliopsida; Malpighiales; Linaceae. The record is from RNAcentral.
GCAGUUUCUUGUAGUGUCGAUCCCACCCAAAUUAUGCACCAUUCUCCUCAAGCUCUCCUUGGAAGCCAUGGAAAUUAACCUUUGUUGACCCCCUGCUGCAUGAUACGAAAUUGCCGACUCCUCUUCUCAAGGUAAAAUUUUAAUGGUAACUGAACUAGGAGCCAAAGCAACAACCUCCAGAGGUGAAACUAUGAGUCAGAGAGAAAGUUGAGGAGGAGGGAGGGAAAUCAGAGAUGAAAAAGAGAGAGAAGCGAGAUAAAAAUGGCUGAAAAUCGAAAAAGAAGAAAAAGAAGAGAAGGAGACAGAAGAAAGAGAAAAUAACCGGGAAAUCCGACGAAAGACAAAAUGGCACGUAAAAACCCAAUAUCAUCAUGGGUAUAAACGUCUAAAACAAAUAAUUUUUAGCCCAAUUUGAAACUUCAUCAUUUUUAUGAACUUUGGAUUUCUCUAUUUUGGGAUAUCUAUAUCACUCAAUAGCUAGCUAUUCGAGGUCUUAAAUACGGAACUAUCUCAAAUAGCUAGCUAUUGAGUGCUAUAUAUAUCAAUAGCACCCAUACCAAACGACCCGCUAAAGAUUUUAUCUACCUCCUAUCUAGUUGAUUUAUUUCAUUAAGUCAAACAAAAUAAUGUAUGAGAUCUUGAUCCUAUAAACCUUCUAUCACUACAUAAUUAGGAUCCAACCAUGUCAUAUCAUCACAGUCUUAAUCAUAAUACUAAAUAUUAAUACAUUGUUAUUUAUCAUGAAAUUAUUUCUAUUCGACUUUUGCUUAUAAGGGUAAUUUAGGGAUUUUCUAAUUGAAAUUUUAUCAGAAAAAUCAGGGUGUAACACUACCUUUCGCUUCGUAGGAGUUAUAUCCAUGGAAGAGGAAAUAGCCGCGAGGGUCGAAGGUGCUGGACUCAUCAUCCUCACAGUUUUCGUCGUUUACUUGGAAGGAAAUG